Molecule: long non-coding RNA, 457 nt
Organism: Gordionus sp. m RMFG-2023
Lineage: Eukaryota; Metazoa; Nematomorpha; Gordioida; Chordodea; Parachordodidae
Exons: 3
Source: RefSeq, a predicted model, not a curated record
AUACUUUUAAAUAAUAUGUAUCUUAGAUAUUGGAUACAAGAUACUUUCCAAAAUUUUAAAAAAGAUACAAGUAUCCGCGAUACUGCCCAACCCUGAGAAGCGCUAUAUAUCACGUAUCACUAGAGGUGGCCAAAUCAGUUUGGAGAAAUCUAAGAGAUUGCUUUAUGAGGGAACAUAAAAACUAUAGAGCCACGGAUUCAGUGUACCAAUUUGGAAAAAAACAAAUCCUGUUAUAGCUAAAAUUGAUGAAGCAAAUAUUGCUAGCAAUGUAUGAGCAAAGGAGUGGUAAUGAAAAUUAUCAAUAGAUGCUAUUGAAAUCCCCUGCAUAGAGACAAGUAGUGAAGCUACAAUUUUAAGGAAAGAUUGUAAUCAUAUUUUAUAUAAAUAAUAUUAUAUAUAUUUAGCAUCACCAUCAACUAGUAUAGGAUCAAAUUUAUCUUGCAAAAAAUUAAUUAAA